AUUGAACGCUGGCGGCAGGCCUAACACAUGCAAGUCGAGCGAGCGGCGGACGGGUGAGUAAUGUAUGGGGACUGCCCGAUAGAGGGGGAUAACUACUGGAAACCGUAGCUAAUACCGCAUACUAUCGGAUAACCCAUAUGGGAUUAGCUAGUAGGUGAGGUAAUGGGUCACCUAGGCGACGAUCCCUAGCUGGUCUGAGAGGAUGAUCAGCCACACUGGGACUGAGUAACGGCCCAGACUCCUAAGGAGGCAGCGGUGGGGAAUAUGGCGCAAUGGGCGCAAGCCUGAUGCAGCCAUGGCGCGUGUAUGAAUAAGGCCCUAGGGUUGUAAAGUACUUUCAGGCGGGAGGCGUUACCGACAGAAGAAGCGCCGGCUAAAUACGUGCCAGCAGCCGCGGUAAUUC
RNAcentral lists this ribosomal RNA (403 nucleotides) under uncultured bacterium. Its description in RNAcentral is "partial 16S ribosomal RNA". It matches the Rfam family "Bacterial small subunit ribosomal RNA", at positions 30 to 526 of the family's 1533-position model. The record is from RNAcentral.